GAUGAACGCUGGCGGCGUGCUUAACACAUGCAAGUCGAACGGAAAGGCCCAAGCUUGCUUGGGUACUCGAGUGGCGAACGGGUGAGUAACACGUGGGUGAUCUGCCCUGCACUUCGGGAUAAGCCUGGGAAACUGGGUCUAAUACCGGAUAGGACCACAUUUUGGAUGGUGUGGUGGAAAGUUUUUCGGUGUGGGAUGAGCUCGCGGCCUAUCAGCUUGUUGGUGGGGUACUGGCCUACCAAGGCGUCGACGGGUAGCCGGCCUGAGAGGGUGUACGGCCACAUUGGGACAGAGAGACGGCCCAGACUCCUAGGGGAGGAAGCAGUGGGGAAGAGUGCACAAUGGGCGAAAGGGUGAUGCAGCGACGCAGCGUGGGGGAUGACGGGAUUCGGGUUGUAGAGUCGGUUAGCUAGGGACGAAGCGAUAUGUGACGGUACAUGGAGAAGAAGAGCCGGCUAAAUACGUG
Molecule: ribosomal RNA, 466 nt
Filed under: uncultured bacterium
Lineage: Bacteria
Description: partial 16S ribosomal RNA
Rfam family: Bacterial small subunit ribosomal RNA
Source: RNAcentral